AUUCAGCCUGCAUCGCUCAGACUGAAACGCACUGUGCUAAUGAGGAAGAGAGCUGAAUGCCACGAAAUCCCCGCUGUACUGGUUCUAAAAACAGCUGGAUGCCCUGAAAGAUGAAGGUGGACACGGGAGGCAAACAGCCAGAAGGUAUGGAGCUGGCUGAGUGAACAGUUGGGGCUUCACCCACAGAUGACAGAUCUUUUCUAGCAUCGAAGAGGACUGAGCUUUUCCAGGGUCCCAUUCUAGCCUCUGGACCUGAGUCUUGGCAGCACUGACUGGUUACCUGCAAGCCACACAGUCAUCCCUUAACCUAUCACUGAAGUCAAAGAGAUGUGAUCUCCCGAUUGAUUGGCUUGGCCAGGUCACAUGCUCACCUCUGAGGUUGAAGUGAGGUGAGGUCUGCAGUUACUGUUUGAGAGAUUCCUGCAACAUUUCUGGAAGCCCCAGUGAGAUCUCCUUCUCCAUGGCCCCAUGGUAGAGACGGGCUGCUGCUCCCUGGUCUCUGAGAACACUAAAGUCUUCUGGAACUGAGAAGCACAAGGGGACUGCGGGACCAAGACCUGGAGUCUCUGGGAAACAUACAUCCUAAACAGGACUUCAGGGUCCUCUCCCAGUGGACAAGGGGACUGCGGGACCAAGACCUGGAGUCUCUGGGAAGCACACAUCCUAAACAGGACUUCAGGGUCCUCUCCCAGUGGACAAGGGGACUGCGGGACCAAGACCUGGAGUCUCUGGGAAGCACACAUCCUAAACAGGACUUCGGGGUCCUCUCCCAGUGGACAAGGGGACUGUGGGACCAAGACCUGGAGUCUCUGAGCGGAAGACCAGAUGAGACUGGGCUGGAUGUCCAGGCCAGGUAAAGACAAAAAAGGGAGAUAGGCAGGAAGAGCCAGCAAUGGCUAGAUCGCCUUGCAGGAUAUUAUAUCUGGAGCCUUGAAGGGAUACUCAGGUAGCACCGGUCCCCAAGGAAAAGGCCUUGAUGAGAUACUCAGGUGGAUUAGUCUUGGAAGAAAUAGACAGACUAAGCAUUUAAAAGGGGGAUGUAUAACUUCUAAGUGAAUGGUGAAUGACUGUGUAGGUGACUGUAAUGCUCCCGCAGCUCCGUGGCUACAGAAUUUGAUUGGGCCUCAACCUCAGAUCGGCUGAAGCCCUUUCAAAUGAACAGGCACUCCCACUCACAAUAGGAGGUGACCAAGUACAAGGUUAUACAUGUGGCUCUAAGGAAAGACCUCUGAAAUUGCCACAUGGUGUCUGGCCAGGCAGAUGCCUGCUUGAGGGAGAAGCUGGUCUCCACCUCACCCUAUUACUACACAGGGUUAGGCACACAUAAACUCCCCCAGUUUCCAGAUAGGGAAUUUUUCUCACCAUGGGAUUUGUAAAAUCCUGAUGUGAAACUCACACAAUCCUGCAAAGACCUUUGUGAUGGUUUGUAUAUCCUUGGACCAGGGAGUGGCACCAUCUGAAGGUGUGGCCUUGUUGGAAUAGGUGUGACCUGGUUGGAAUGGGUGUGUCACUGUGGGUGUGGGUAUAAGAUCCUCACCCUAGUUGCCUGGAAGUCAGUCUUCCACUAGCAGCCUUUGGAUGAAAACAUAGAACUCUCAGCUCCUCCUGCGCCAUGCCUGCCUGGAUGCUGCCAUGCUCCCACCUUGAUGAUAAUGGACUGAACCUCUGAACCUGUAAGCCAGCCCCAAUUAAAUGUUGUUUUUUAUAAGA
Molecule: long non-coding RNA, 1710 nt
Filed under: Mus musculus (house mouse)
Lineage: Eukaryota; Metazoa; Chordata; Mammalia; Rodentia; Muridae
Description: predicted gene, 33027 (Gm33027)
Source: RNAcentral